GGUACUUGGAAAAAAGAUAUGUUUUAAUACAGUAUAUGUUGUCACUCUUUCUUCCAUUUAUGUGUGCAUCUGUAUCGAAUAGGAGUAUGUCUUCAUUUCAUAUAUGAGUAUACACAUAUGAUGCAUCACACUAUAGAACACAAGCUUCUAUUCCUUCUGAUGUAAUAAUACCCCUAGCCAUUCUAUGUCCUUUCAUGUACGCAGAAUCUUGUCUGCUUACACAAAUGAACUUAUACUGAGAAUCAGAAACUACCAGUCAGCUGGUGUUUAAUGAGAAAGAAUUAUAAAGAUAUGUGGUCACAGGCCUGAAUAAAGCAGAAAAGGUUAGAAGGAGCCCUGAAGAAGAGAGGUUUGGAAAAAACAACAGUGUUUGGUGGGUCAUGGGAGGUUUAUGGAGCAUAGGAUGAACAUGGUGGGCACAGCAAGGGAGGAUAAAGCCUGAAGUGCUAAGACAACAAGAAGAGCAGGGUUCAGAAGUUCAGCAGAACGAGAGAAAGAAGGGCUUUGGGAAGUGCCCAGAAGUUCAGAGCAACCCUGUCAGAAAGCCUGUUUUGCUAGGACAUAGUGCAGGAAGAACUUUGCUGGCAAACUCUCACUACAUUUCAUUCUAGGCUUCUUCCACAGUGAGAAGUUUGUUCCUUCAUCUUAUGUUCAAAUAAAAACUGGCUUUCAAUUUAA
This is a non-coding RNA of Coturnix japonica (Japanese quail), 678 nucleotides long. NCBI's taxonomy places the organism in Eukaryota, Metazoa, Chordata, Aves, Galliformes, Phasianidae. The record is from RefSeq and is a predicted model, not a curated record.